AUGAACAUUCACCUCCUGACGCGUUGGCUCUGGCGGAUAGCCAAUGGCGAGGGUGGGCUAUGGCUCCAAAUCAUCCGGAACAAGUACCUGCGCGGCCAACCGCUGGCCUUCUACCAGCGGGCGGGAGGCUCCUAGUUCUGGCAGCCCAUCAUUCAGUUGCUCCCGGUCCUCUGCAUUGGGAGUUCCAUCACUGUUGGAUCGGGAACAUCCACCUUAUUUUGGUUUGAUAGAUGGGCUGGGGAGACACCCUUUGCGGGACGUUUCCCGGACUUGUUCGCCGUUGCUGUGGACCGACGGGUCUCCAUGGAGGUGGCCCUUAUUGACUUAGGGCGCCUCGCAUUCAGGCGGCCGUUUGGGCCCCCGGAAAUAAUAGCCUGGCACGAGCUCUUGAAUGCCGUCGCGAUCCACGAGCCGGAUCUCGAGCUGACCCACGAUCGCCUAUCCUGGCACUUAGAGCCCUCGGGCACCUUCUCCACCAAGUCCCUGUACCAGGCCAUCGCGGCCAUUCCCUGGCCUGAGCCACUGGUGGCGAUCUGGUCAAUCAGACUCCCUUUGAAGAUCAGGAUCUUCCUUUGGCAAUGGUUCCGCGGACGUAUACCUUCCGGUGUGGAGGUGUUAAAAUGGAAUGGCCCGGGAGACGGGAUGUGCCCUUUGUGCGGGACCGUAGAAGACUCCAACCACAUCUUCUUCUCCUGCGUCUCCACCCAGUUCCUCUGGAGCUGCCUCCACGAGGUAGUAGGUGGUUGUUGGUGUAAUAUCAACUUCCCGGACCUCUUCGCCGAGAUCCAAGCAUCGCCCACAUCUGGCCGUCACAUUAGGUGGCUCGCUAUUGGGGUCCUUGCCUAG
RNAcentral lists this ribosomal RNA (846 nucleotides) under Triticum aestivum (bread wheat). Its description in RNAcentral is "partial small subunit ribosomal RNA". The record is from RNAcentral. Lineage: Eukaryota; Viridiplantae; Streptophyta; Magnoliopsida; Poales; Poaceae.